Long non-coding RNA from Bos taurus (domestic cattle), 1996 nucleotides. Lineage: Eukaryota; Metazoa; Chordata; Mammalia; Artiodactyla; Bovidae. The record is from Ensembl.
CACAGAUGUACACUUUGAGAUCUGCAGAGUGGGAGGAAUCUGCAGAAGACAUCAAUGCUAAGAACAGAGGGCCACCAUCUUCCCCGUUGCCCCAAAUAAAGGGGCCACCAGAGCCAACAUCCUCAACUCGCAUGUGGAAACAGGAGGGGAAGGUCCUAGAGACCAGGCCUCAGCAGCAGCGCCCACCACCAUGCUUUAGCAGUGACCUGCUCUGUGCCGGUUAUGGAGCCAGGUAUUUACACUUGCCAUUUUCUUCCACCCCAGUGCUGGUGAUCUUCUUGGCUGAUGGUGCCUAGAAGUCAGUCCCCUUUCCAGCUGACACUCAGAGUUACCUGGAAGCUGACUUACCACUUUUUCAACAGCUUCUUGGGCUCUCAGAUCCCUGCCCUGCAGCAAUAGUCUGUUCCUGAGGCAACAGUCCAUUCCUGAUAUUUUAACAAGCAGUUCAAAAGCUGAACUUUGGCAGACAUCCACACUUUCACUUCCAGAGGAAGAAGAUGAGUUUGAACAAAACAAAGAAGGAAGACACAAGGCAGCCUGCAGCAAUGGGGUGUCCACAGGUGAACGGGCAAUAGGAACCCCCGUGCUUCCUAACUCCUUAAUGUCUGGCUUCGGCCUUCAGUCUUCUAUUGGGUACUAGGGGGGCAGGGGAGUAUCUCUCACCCUCUCAUGGGCCUCGUAAUUAACUCAACAUGCAUUAGGCAACCAGCACAUGGAAGGUGAAACAGUUGUCAGUGAAAGGAACAAAGGUGGAACUACGAUUCUUUUAGCUCAGUGACCCGAUGAAGCAAGUCAGCUGUCUCACAUAUAUUUCUUUUGAACCUGCAGGGCCCAUUAUAAUAAAAGUUAGACCCUCAAUUCUUCAUCACCAACAAUGUGGGAGACCAUUUCCCUUCCUUCAAACCUACAGAGCAACUAUCCAAAGCUUCCCUCUGAACCCCCAACCCUGCGCCCCAUUCUUUCAUCAGCCCCUCUGCUGGCUCAUCCAAGAGUCAGGAAGGCCCUAGACUGAAGACUCCUAGACUGGCGUCCACAGCCUGAAUGAAGGAGACCUUCCUAAUUUGUCUUCUUCCAUGAUGGCCGUGUGCAGAUGAGGAUGGUGUGUUUUAACACUACCCUCAAAGACACAGCAGCCCCUGGUUCACCCCUGGGAAACAGUCACACGCUGUGCCUCUUGUCACACCUUAAGUGUGCUCUUGCCCCUGCAUUUCUAAGUCAAGUCUCGGGAGCCACUUUCCAUGGGAAUGACUCGCCUGGUCAAUGGAAAGAACGUGGAUCGAGGGGACAGGAAAUGCAGAUCCUGCUCCUGGCUCUGUGGAGUAACUGAGUACCCUGGGCAAGUCAUUCAGUGCCUGCAUCAGUCACAUCACCUGUAAAACAGUCAGAAAGCCAUCAGCCCUCACUCAUGGAAUGAUGAUGAGGGACACAAGAAACUCAUUUGUUUAUAACUGCUUUGAUAAGCUUAAAGCCCCACAGAAUAGUAACAGCAACAAUAUUCCCUGAGUACAUAUGACUGAUUUCUCCUCAUCUCCUUCUCUGAACCCCAUGAGAUCCGUGCCAGCGUUAUUUCCAUUUUUGCCACUGAGGAAAUAGACUCAGGUUUUCAAUGUAGCACAUAGCCAGUAAGUGGUAGAACCAGGUCUCCAACUCAAGGUUUCAUACUCUGAAGCCAGAGUUUUUAAAAUAUGUUUCUUAUAUAUAAGGGUAGCUAACACUUACCGAAUGUUUGCUAUGGGCCAGCUUGGUUCUACAAAUUUCCCAAGUAUUAAUUCAUUUACCUCCAAAACUCUAGACACAGAUACAUUAUUGUUCCCAUUUUACAGAUAAGGGAACAAAGAGGUGAUAUAACUCAACUAGGUCUGUACAGUUCACAAGUGCCAAAGCCAGACAUUUGGUCAGCGCUCUUAUCCUCUCUCCCCAUCUCAUGUGUGUGUGUGUGUGUGUGUGUGUGUGUGUGUGUAAAAAGAGAGAGAAUAUAUACAUAUAUAGAGAGAGA